AUUGAACGCUGGCGGCAGGCUUAACACAUGCAAGUCGAGCGGGGGAAGGUAGCUUGCUACCGGACCUAGCGGCGGACGGGUGAGUAAUGCUUAGGAAUCUGCCUAUUAGUGGGGGACAACAUCUCGAAAGGGAUGCUAAUACCGCAUACGUCCUACGGGAGAAAGCAGGGGAUCUUCGGACCUUGCGCUAAUAGAUGAGCCUAAGUCGGAUUAGCUAGUUGGUGGGGUAAAGGCCUACCAAGGCGACGAUCUGUAGCGGGGCGGAGAGGAUGAUCCGCCACACUGGGACUGAGACACGGCCCAGACUCCUCCGGGAGGCAGCAGUGGGGAAUAUUGGACAAUGGGGGGAACCCUGAUCCAGCCAUGCCGCGUGUGUGAAGAAGGCCUUAUGGUUGUAAAGCACUUUAAGCGAGGAGGAGGCUACUUUAGUUAAUACCUAGAGAUAGUGGACGUUACUCGCAGAAUAAGCACCGGCUAACUCUGUGCCAGCCGCCGCCGUAA
Molecule: ribosomal RNA, 501 nt
Filed under: uncultured bacterium
Lineage: Bacteria
Description: partial 16S ribosomal RNA
Rfam family: Bacterial small subunit ribosomal RNA
Source: RNAcentral